RNAcentral lists this ribosomal RNA (253 nucleotides) under uncultured bacterium. RNAcentral's name for it is "partial 16S ribosomal RNA". It matches the Rfam family "Bacterial small subunit ribosomal RNA", at positions 524 to 776 of the family's 1533-position model. The record is from RNAcentral.
UACGUAGGGGGCUAGCGUUGUCCGGAAUCAUUGGGCGUAAAGAGCGUGUAGGCGGCCCGGUAAGUCCGCUGUAAAAGUCAAAGGCUCAACCUUUGAAUGUCAGUGGAUACUGCCGGGCUAGAGUCCGGAAGAGGCGAGUGGAACUCCUGGUGUAGCGGUGGAAUGCGCAGAUAUCGGGAGGAACACCAAUGGCGAAGGCAGCUCGCUGGGACGGUACUGACGCUGAGACGCGAAAGCGUGGGGAGCAAACAGG